CCCCUUCGCGUGCCGGGGCAAUGGCACGCACCUCCCUGUUGGACUUGCCCGGGCCGCGUGCCCGGGUUUUUUU
Molecule: non-coding RNA, 73 nt
Filed under: Actibacterium mucosum KCTC 23349
Lineage: Bacteria; Pseudomonadati; Pseudomonadota; Alphaproteobacteria; Rhodobacterales; Roseobacteraceae
Description: Singlet oxygen resistance RNA X
Rfam family: Singlet oxygen resistance RNA X
About the family: SorX (RSs2461)like SorY is a singlet oxygen induced sRNA that counteracts oxidative stress by targeting mRNA for a transporter in Rhodobacter. It also has an impact on resistance against organic hydroperoxides.
Source: Rfam by way of RNAcentral